RNAcentral lists this microRNA precursor (94 nucleotides) under Mus musculus (house mouse). Its description in RNAcentral is "predicted gene, 54614 (ENSMUSG00002075452.1)". The record is from RNAcentral. Lineage: Eukaryota; Metazoa; Chordata; Mammalia; Rodentia; Muridae.
UUCCUCAGAAAUGUGUAUGUAUGUAUGUGUGUGUGUGUGUGUGUGUGUAUAUAUAUAUAUACACACACACACAUAAUAUAUACAUAUAUACAUA